This 263-nucleotide long non-coding RNA is filed under the name Paramuricea clavata. Lineage: Eukaryota; Metazoa; Cnidaria; Anthozoa; Malacalcyonacea; Plexauridae. The record is from RNAcentral.
ACAAGCUGUUAACAACUUGUAACAACCUUGUUGAUAUUAUCAGACUUGUUGCAAGGUUGUUCCAACAAGUCCAAUACAGUCAUGAUAUAACAAUAUUGUUACAACCCUCAGGUGAUCAACCUUGUAACAUUCUUGUUGUAUCAUGACUGUAUCAGACUUGUUAGAACAACGUUGUAACAAGUCUGAUAAUGCCAUCAAGCUUGUUGCAAGUUGUUAACAGCUUGUUCCAAACUUGUUACAACAACUCGGAACAAACAGUGCGA